ACAAGUACCGUGAGGGAAAGUUGAAAAGCACUUUGAAAAGAGAGUGCAAGAGAACGUGAAACCGUUAUAGUGGAAGCGGAUGGAGCCGACGUAUCCCGUGCGUAUUCAGCGGUCUCCCGUCGCAUUGCGCUCGUUUCGGGUUCUGCAAAGUCCUGGACGGGUGUUGGUGUGUCGGGUGGACUGUGCACUUGCGUACAGAGUGCGCCGAAUCGACCGAGCACGCCGUUGGAAGGCCGAAAAGAGGACCAGCUCUUGAGUUGGAAACCUGGUCGGUCGGAUGGCGGAUGGGCUUGGUUGCAAAGAGAGAGGUUGGUGAAUUCGUGGCUGGUGGCUGGCAAUCGGGUGGCUUGAGCGCGAUGCAUGCAUUUCGUUCUUGUGAUCAGGUUGUGGGCCGCCGGCUGCUCAAUCUCGCAUUCGGUGUCUAGUCGGUCACCCAUUUGACCCGUCUUGAAACACGGACCAAGGAGUUUAAGGUGUGCGCAAGUCAUUGAGCAGAGUGAGGCUUAAAGGCGAAAUGAAAGUGGGCCACCCAGUGGCUGUGAUGCGAUUUGGGGGCGAUUCGUCUCCCCGAAAGCAGCAUCGACCCAUGACUGGAACUUGUUCUGUUGUGGAGUCCGAGCGUACGCUUUGAGACCCGAAAGAUGGUGAACUAUGCCCGAACAGGACGAAGUCAGAGGAAACUCUGAUGGAAGUCCGAAGCGGUUCUGACGUGCAAAUCGAUCGUCUGAUUUGGGUAUAGGGGCGCAAGACUAAUCGAACCAUCUAGUAGCUGGUUCCUUCCGA
RNAcentral lists this ribosomal RNA (783 nucleotides) under Aphelenchoides sp. Japan. RNAcentral describes it as "eukaryotic LSU rRNA". It matches the Rfam family "Eukaryotic large subunit ribosomal RNA", at positions 344 to 964 of the family's 3401-position model. Lineage: Eukaryota; Metazoa; Nematoda; Chromadorea; Rhabditida; Aphelenchoididae. The record is from RNAcentral.